RNAcentral lists this small RNA (4514 nucleotides) under Pongo abelii (Sumatran orangutan). RNAcentral's name for it is "retained intron". Lineage: Eukaryota; Metazoa; Chordata; Mammalia; Primates; Hominidae. The record is from RNAcentral.
CUCUCCGCCCGUGGGGAGUGGUGGGGGCCUGGGUGGGAAGGGGCGUGUGCCAGCGCACGCGCGCUCCCUGAAGGAGAGGUCUCAGCUAGAACCAGCGGCCCUAGGUUUUCGGGAGGGAGGAUCAGGGAUGUUUGCGAGCGGCUGGAACCAGACGGUGCCGAUGGAGGAAGCGGGCUCCAUGGCUGCCCUCCUGCUGCUGCCCCUGCUGCUGUUGCUACCGCUGCUGCUGCUGAAGCUACACCUCUGGCCGCAGUUGCGCUGGCUCCCGGCGGACUUGGCCUUUGCGGUGCGAGCCCUGUGCUGCAAAAGGGCUCUUCGAGCUCGCGCCCUGGCCGCGGCUGCCGCCGACCCGGAAGGUCCCGAGGGGGGCUGCAGCCUGGCCUGGCGCCUCGCGGAACUGGCCCAGCAGCGCCCCGCGCACACCUUUCUCAUUCACGGCUCGCGGCGCUUUAGCUACUCGGAGGCGGAGCGCGAGAGUAACAGGGCUGCACGCGCCUUCCUACGUGCGCUAGGCUGGGACGGGGGACCCGACGGCGGCGACAGCGGCGAGGGGAGCGCUGGAGAAGGCGAGCGGGCAGCGCCGGGACCCGGAGAUGCAGCGGCCGGAAGCGGCGCGGAGUUUGCCGGAGGGGACGGUGCGGCCAGAGGUGGAGGAGCCGCCGCCCCUCUGGCACCUGGAGCAACUGUGGCGCUGCUCCUCCCCGCUGGCCCAGAGUUUCUGUGGCUCUGGUUCGGGCUGGCCAAGGCCGGCCUGCGCACGGCCUUUGUGCCCACCGCCCUGCGCCGGGGCCCCCUGCUGCAUUGCCUCCGCAGCUGCGGCGCGCGCGCGCUGGUGCUGGCGCCAGGUAAGGCUGGAGCUCCGAACUGACCAAGGCGCGGCCAGCCACAGAAGGGGGCGUGUCGGGGACCGCAGAAAGGCUCGGUCUCAUCCCUGGGCCUGGGAAGAAGCCGACUAUCCCUUGGGGUUCGAAAGUGAGUGGAGAUAGGAGUCUCCAGGUUUGAGAAGGGAUGAGGCUGAAUCUUUGAUGCCCCAAGGAUUCCCCAAGGAGUCGAGUUCCAGGCCUCAGACCCAAGAUGGAAUGUCCAUACCCUUCACCCUCACCCAAGAGCAGUGUGGGCUGGGAUGGGGAGGGGACAUGGGUCAUAGGCUCUUCUAGGUAGAGCCAGGGCCCCGGCGUUGUGCUUUCCCACCCUUCUAGAGUUUCUGGAGUCCCUGGAGCCGGACCUGCCCGCCCUGAGAGCCAUGGGGCUCCACCUGUGGUCUGCAGGCCCAGGAACCCACCCUGCUGGAAUUAGCGAUUUGCUGGCUGAAGUGUCCGCUGAAGUGGAUGGGCCAGUGCCAGGAUACCUCUCUUCCCCCCAGAGCGUAACAGACACGUGCCUGUACAUCUUCACCUCUGGCACCACGGGCCUCCCCAAGGCUGCUCGGAUUAGUCAUCUGAAGAUCCUGCAAUGCCAGGGCUUCUACCAGCUGUGUGGUGUCCACCAGAAAGAUGUGAUCUACCUCGCCCUCCCACUCUACCACAUGUCCGGCUCCCUGCUGGGCGUUGUGGGCUGCAUGGGCAUUGGUCAGUCUCCCCAACCCCACCUUCAUUAAUUCAUCCAGCAGACAUUUAUUAAGCACAUACUAUGGUGUGAGUCCUCCAGGGUAGAUAAUCUAGAGGACGGAUGGGGCAGAGCCCUACUCACCAGGAGCUCUGUACAAUAGGGCAAUGUCACCUGCCUAGACCUACAGACUGAGGAACAGUGAGGGGGGGCCAUACAGCCACAUAACUCCAGGCUGCAGGGUCAAAGGCAGGGAAGGACUGUGUCAGUCCAGGAACAGGCAAAUAGAGAAGAGGGAGAGAGAGACAAGGAGGUGAGAGUGUGGAGGAUGGGAUAUUUGGGGCUGGGAAGUAGGGAAAGGGCAUUCACCUCUUCCAAGGCUGGGGACAGGGCCCGGGGGAGGGGAAAGAGGGCCAGCACAGCCUCCUGACGGUGUGACCCCCACAGUGGGCCCUUCCCAGGGAAAGACUACAGUGAUGGCUGGGGUCUGGAAAGAGGGGCUCGGGCUCCCCACUCUGCUCCUAAUCUUACCUCCUUCCUUCUUCCCCCUGCCCACUUCUGGCAGGGGCCACAGUGGUGCUGAAGUCCAAGUUCUCGGCUGGUCAGUUCUGGGAAGAUUGCCAGCAGCACAGGGUGACGGUGUUCCAGUACAUUGGGGAGUUGUGCCGAUACCUUGUCAACCAGCCCCCGGUGCGUGGGCACAGAUCCUGGGCAGAGCUGCUGACACAGGGCUAGCUUACGGGGAGCAGGACAGUUGACAGGAGACAGGGAGUUGGAGGGAGAAGCAGCAAGAAGAAAAUGGCAGUGUAAGAUAAGGAGCCAGAGAUGGCCUAGGCCAUCUGAUGAUUACAGCCUCUGAAGGAGGUCACAGUAGGAGGGGGUUCUGGGGAAUGGGGAACAGGAAUUCACUUCGGGGAGCGGGCAUCUUGGUGCUGAAGCUCUGGCCCCUCUCCCACUCAUCUCAGAGCAAGGCAGAACAUGGCCAUAAGGUCCGGCUGGCAGUGGGCAGCGGGCUGCGCCCAGAUACCUGGGAGCGUUUUGUGCGGCGCUUUGGGCCCCUGCAGGUGCUGGAGACAUAUGGACUGACAGAGGGCAACGUGGCCACCAUCAACUACACAGGACAGCGGGGCGCUGUGGGGCGUGCUUCCUGGCUUUACAAGGUGAGGGGCAGAGAGGAAACUGAAAACCCGUGGAACAGCAGAGGGCUGGCAGGAGAGGGGGCUCAUGUGACUGCAAUGAUCCAGUACCCAGGUCUCCCUUUCCCCAGCAUAUCUUCCCCUUCUCCUUGAUUCGCUAUGAUGUCACCACAGGAGAGCCGAUUCGGGACCCCCGGGGGCACUGUAUGGCCACAUCUCCAGGUUGGUGGUGUUCUGGUGGGGUGGGCGGGGUGCUGAAGCUAGCACAGGAGGACUGGAAUUGGAGACUGGGGUGGAUGGGGGCAGGAGGCUCUGGGAAAGGUGACAGCACUCCUGACCCUGGUGACUCUGCCAGGUGAGCCAGGGCUGCUGGUGGCCCCGGUAAGCCAGCAGUCCCCAUUCCUGGGCUAUGCUGGCAGGCCAGAGCUGGCCCAGGGGAAGUUGCUAAAGGAUGUCUUCCGGCCUGGGGAUGUUUUCUUCAACACUGGGGACCUGCUGGUCUGCGAUGACCAAGGUUUUCUCCGCUUCCAUGAUCGUACUGGAGACACCUUCAGGUAUCUGUCCAUAACUGGUUCUUCAUCCUGGACAUCUGAUCUCUGUGAUCCAAAGCUUCUGAACCUCAACUCUCUAAUCUGCCACCUCAACCUGGGUCCUCAGCUAAUCUCUCACUCUCAGAUCUCACCAUUUCAUUCCUGUAACACUGACCUCUGACCUCAUCUCCCCACCAAGCCCAUAAGGCCCUGACCCCUGACUCCCAUUUGCAGAUCUCUGCUCUCUGACAGGUGGAAGGGGGAGAAUGUGGCCACAACCGAGGUGGCAGAGGUCUUCGAGGCCCUGGAUUUUCUUCAGGAGGUGAACAUCUAUGGAGUCACUGUGCCAGGUGCCUAGGCAUGGAAGGUGGGGGAGGCACCCAGCCACCACCCCGAAUUGGUAAUACUUGGGCGCAGGGAGCACGAGGCCUUCGUGGUGGUCAGCCAUGGAGGGGCUUACUCUGUCUCCCAUACCCACCAGGGCAUGAAGGCAGGGCUGGAAUGGCAGCCCUAGUUCUGCGUCCCCCCCACUCUUUGGACCUUAUGCAGCUCUACACCCACGUGUCUGAGAACUUGCCACCUUAUGCCCGGCCCCGAUUCCUCAGGCUCCAGGUAACCAGCCACUUCCCCCGCUGGCCGCUCACCCCAUAUAUCCUCACCCCACAUAUCCACCCCAUGUAUCAACUUGGGAGUUUGAUGGCUCCCAAACUCCACAAAGGGACCCCCAACGUAAUACACUCCGUGAAGAGAAAAAACACGGAGAUGCGCGCUCUUCACCCCACUUCUUUCCUUAUCCCUGCCUUCUUCUGGCCUGGCUCUUUCUCCUCUCUGUCACCUCUUCCCCUAAACCUUGACCUCACACUCCCUUUCCCAAGACUUGCUCCUUAACAAAAUUCAGGCAACUCCCCUGAACCACCUGGGGAGAGUCCCCUUCCCUGCAAAUCCCCCUGACCCUUCCUCCUGUCCCCAGGAGUCUUUGGCCACCACAGAGACCUUCAAACAGCAGAAAGUUCGGAUGGCAAAUGACGGCUUCAACCCCAGCACCCUGUCUGACCCACUGUACGUUCUGGACCAGGCUGUAGGUGCCUACCUGCCCCUCACACCUGCCCGGUACAGCGCCCUCCUGGCAGGGAACCUUCGAAUCUGAGACCUUCCACACCUGAGGCACCUAAGGGAGGGACUCUGUGGGGUGGGGGCCGUUGCAGAUGUACUGGGCUGUCAGGGAUCUUUUCUAUACCAGAACUGCGGUCACUAUUUUGUAAUAAAUGUGACUGGAGCUGAUCCAGCUGUCUUUCUGACCUAC